GAUGAACGCUGGCGGCGUGCCUAAUACAUGCAAGUCGAGCGAACAGACGAGGAGCUUGCUCCUCUGACGUUAGCGGCGGACGGGUGAGUAACACGUGGAUAACCUACCUAUAAGACUGGGAUAACUUCGGGAAACCGGAGCUAAUACCGGAUAAUAUAUUGAACCGCAUGGUUCAAUAGUGAAAGACGGUUUUGCUGUCACUUAUAGAUGGAUCCGCGCCCCAUUAGCUAGUUGGUAAGGUAACGGCUUACCCAGGAGGCGAUGCGUAGCCGACCUGGAAGGGUGAUCGGCCAAACAGGAACUGAGACACGGUCCAGACUACUACGGGAGGCAGCAGUAGGGAAUCUUCCGCAAUGGGCGAAAGCCUGACGGAGCAACGCCGCGUGAGUGAUGAAGGUCUUCGGAUCGUAAAACUCUGUUAUUAGGGAAGAACAAAUGUGUAAGUAACUAUGCACGUCUUGACGGUACCUAAUCAGAAAGCCACGGCUAACUACGUG
Molecule: ribosomal RNA, 497 nt
Filed under: uncultured bacterium
Lineage: Bacteria
Description: partial 16S ribosomal RNA
Rfam family: Bacterial small subunit ribosomal RNA
Source: RNAcentral